ACGAACGCUGGCGGCGUGCUUCACACAUGCAAGUCGAACGGUGAAGCGCCUUCCUUUUUGGUGGGUGUGGAUGAGUGGCGAACGGGUGAGUAACACGUGAGUAACCUGCCCCCUUCUUCUGGAUAACCGCAUGAAAGUGUGGCUAAUACGGGAUAUUCUGGGUCUGUCGCAUGAUGGGUCUGGGAAAGAUAUUGUUUCGGUGGGGGAUGGGCUCGCGGCCUAUCAGCUUGUUGGUGGGAUGAUGGCCUACCAAGGCGGUGACGGGUAGCCGGCCUGAGAGGGUGGACGGUCACACUGGGACUGAGACACGGCCCAGACUCCUACGGGAGGCAGCAGUGGGGAAUAUUGCACAAUGGGCGCAAGCCUGAUGCAGCGACGCCGCGUGAGGGAUGGAGGCCUUCGGGUUGUGAACCUCUUUCGCCAGUGAAGCAGGCCUGCCUCGUUUGUGGGUGGGUUGACGGUAGCUGGAUAAGAAGCGCCGGCUAACUACGUG
This 493-nucleotide ribosomal RNA is filed under the name uncultured bacterium. RNAcentral describes it as "partial 16S ribosomal RNA". It matches the Rfam family "Bacterial small subunit ribosomal RNA", at positions 29 to 507 of the family's 1533-position model. The record is from RNAcentral.